This 22-nucleotide small nuclear RNA is filed under the name Arabidopsis thaliana (thale cress). RNAcentral describes it as "snRNA_04143". The record is from RNAcentral. Lineage: Eukaryota; Viridiplantae; Streptophyta; Magnoliopsida; Brassicales; Brassicaceae.
GAGCCCGGGCGGAGCGGCCGUC